UGCGUAGGUGGUUAGGUAAGACCUGUGGGAAAGACCUGGGCUUAACCCAGGAAGGUCGCAGGUGACUGCCUGGCUAGAGGGCGGGAGAGGAGCGCGGAAUUCCCGGUGUAGCGGUGAAAUGCGUAGAGAUCGGGAGGAAGGCCGGUGGCGAAGGCGGCGCUCUGGAACGUUCCUGACACUGUGGCACGAAAGCGUGGGGAGCAAACAGGAUUAGAUACCCUGGUAGUCCACGCCCUAAACGAUGGGUACUAAGUGUCGGCGGGUUACCGCCGGUGCCGCACCUAACGGAGUAAGUACCCCGCCUGGGGAGUACGGCCGCAAGGUUGAA
This 328-nucleotide ribosomal RNA is filed under the name uncultured bacterium. RNAcentral's name for it is "bacterial SSU rRNA". It matches the Rfam family "Bacterial small subunit ribosomal RNA", at positions 568 to 898 of the family's 1533-position model. The record is from RNAcentral.